Molecule: ribosomal RNA, 460 nt
Filed under: uncultured bacterium
Lineage: Bacteria
Description: partial 16S ribosomal RNA
Rfam family: Bacterial small subunit ribosomal RNA
Source: RNAcentral
CCUACGGGAGGCAGCAGUGAGGAAUAUUGGUCAAUGGCCGGAAGGCUGAACCAGCCAUGCCGCGUGAAGGUCAGUGCCCUAUGGGCGUUAAACUUCUUUUGUGCGGGAGCAAUAAUGGUCACGUGUGGCCAGACGAGAGUACCGUACGAAUAAGCAUCGGCUAACUCCGUGCCAGCAGCCGCGGUAAUACGGGGGAUGCAAGCGUUAUCCGGAUUUAUUGUGUUUAAAGGGUGCGUAGGCUGUGAGGUAAGUCAGCGGUGAAAUGCCCCCGCUCAACGGGGUGAAGUGCCAUUGAUACUGCCUGGCUGGAAUGCGGAUGCCGUGGGAGGAAUGUGUGGUGUAGCGGUGAAAUGCAUAGAUAUCACACAGAACACCGAUUGCGAAGGCAUCUCACGAAGCCGCGAUUGACGCUGAUGCACGAAAGCGUGGGUAUCAAACAGGAUUAGAUACCCUAGUAGUC